CCUAUGGGAGGCAGCAGUGAGGAAUAUUGGUCAAUGGCCGUAAGGCUGAACCAGCCAAGUAGCGUGAGGGAAGACUGCCCUAUGGGUUGUAAACCUCUUUUAUGCGGGGAUAAAGGUGUCCACGUGUGGAUGUUUGCAGGUACCGCAUGAAUAAGGACCGGCUAACUCCGUGCCAGCAGCCGCGGUAAUACGGAGGAUGCGAGCGUUAUCCGGAUUUAUUGGGUUUAGAGGGUGCGUAGGCGGACAGUCAAGUCAGCGGUAAAAAUGCGGUGCUCAACGCCGUACAGCCGUUGAAACUGGCAGUCUUGAGUGGGCGAGAGGUAUGCGGAAUGCGUGGUGUAGCGGUGAAAUGCAUAGAUAUCACGCAGAACUCCGAUUGCGAAGGCAGCAUACCGGCGCCCUACUGACGCUGAGGCACGAAAGCGUGGGUAUCGAACAGGAUUAGAUACCCGGGUAGUC
RNAcentral lists this ribosomal RNA (459 nucleotides) under uncultured bacterium. RNAcentral describes it as "partial 16S ribosomal RNA". It matches the Rfam family "Bacterial small subunit ribosomal RNA", at positions 338 to 795 of the family's 1533-position model. The record is from RNAcentral.